GAUGAACGCUGGCGGUAUGCUUAACACAUGCAAGUCGAACGGACUCUUCGGAGUUAUUGGCGGACGGGUGAGUAACGCGUGAGAAUCUGGCUUUGGGUUCGGGACAACCACUGGAAACGGUUGCUAAUACCGGAUGUGCCGAGAGGUAAAAGAGAAAUUGCCUGAAGAUGAGCUCGCGUCUGAUUAGCUAGUUGGUGAGGUAAAGGCUCACCAAGGCAGCGAUCAGUAGCUGGUCUGAGAGGAUGACCAGCCACACUGGGACUGAGACACGGCCCAGACUCCUACGGGAGGCAGCAGUGGGGAAUUUUCCGCAAUGGGCGGAAGCCUGACGGAGCAAUACCGCGUGAGGGAAGAAGGCUCUUGGGUUGUAAACCUCUUUUCUUAGGGAAGAACAAAAUGACGGUACCUAAGGAAUCAGCAUCGGCUAACUCCGUG
RNAcentral lists this ribosomal RNA (435 nucleotides) under uncultured bacterium. RNAcentral describes it as "partial 16S ribosomal RNA". It matches the Rfam family "Bacterial small subunit ribosomal RNA", at positions 28 to 507 of the family's 1533-position model. The record is from RNAcentral.